Molecule: long non-coding RNA, 1595 nt
Filed under: Homo sapiens (human)
Lineage: Eukaryota; Metazoa; Chordata; Mammalia; Primates; Hominidae
Description: HSALNT0281640
Source: RNAcentral
UAAAGAAAAGAGGUUUCAUUGGCUCUUGAUUCUGCAGGUUGUACAGGAAGCAUGGUGCUGGCAUCUGCUUCCGAUGAGGGCCUCAGGGAGCUUACAAUCAUGGUGGAAGACGAAGGGGAGCCAAUGUUUCACAUGUUGAGAGUGAGAGCAAGAGAGAGGGAGGGGAGGCAGCCACACACUUUUAAACAACCAGAUUUUUUUUUUUUUUUAGAUGGAGUCCUGCUCUGUUGCCCAGGCUGGAGUGCAGCAGCGUGAUCUCGGCUCACUGCAACCUCCACCUCCCAGGUUCAAGCGAUUCUCCUGCCUCAGGCUCCUGAGUAGCUGCGAUUACAGGCGCGUGCCACCAUGCCCGGCUAAUUUUUGUAUUUUUAGUAGAGGCAGGGUUUCACCAUGUUGGUCAGGCUAGUCUCGAACUCCUGACAUCGUGAUCCACCCGCCUCGGCCUCCUAAAGUGCUGGGAUUACAGGCGUGAGCCACCCUGCCUGGCCUAAGCAACCACAUCUUGCAUGAACUAACUGAGCGAGAACUCACUUAUCACUGAAGGGAUGGCGCUACACCAUUCACGAGGGGCUAUUCCCAUGAUCCAAUCACCUCCCACCAGGCCCCACCUCCAACAGUGGGGAUCACAUUUCAACAUGAGAUUUGGAGAGGACAAACAUCCAAACGAUAUCAGGCUGAAAACACGGCUGGCACUUGAAACUUUAGAGAAGUCACCUUUUCCCUGGGCUCCUCGCUCUGGUCUCCCUGAGACUGUCACAGCGGCUUCAUAGGUGCUUCGAGUUUCUUUGCCACCCCCUGAUCAGGCCUUCUGUGUUUUGUAGUAGUCGCCUUCCCAGAUUUAUUGAGUAGCUCAGCUGAACCAAGGUCUGAGCAUUCAAUUAGGUCUUGUUAUUCAUCCGUUCACCAAAUAUUUAGUGAGCCAUGUGCCAGGCACAUUUCUAGCUGCUGAUACAGCUGUGAACAAGACAGAUGAAGCCCUUGCCCUUCGUGGAGCUCACAUUUUAAUAAAUAGUUUGGAGGCGGACAAAGAGAAAAUAAACAGAGAAACACGAACCUGGAGCAUUUGGCUCACAACUUAGAGUUGACUCAUCUUCAGUUUGACGUCCCUCCUGCUACGAGUUCCUGGCUAACUGACAUCUCUUCUCCUCAAGCAGAUGCUAACUUUGAGCCCUACCACUGAUGGCAUUUGAGGGGGAGAGGAUAAGCCAAGGGAAGAGGAAAAUCAAAAUGCUUUCAGCAGCACGGCUUCCGCAUGCUGGAGAGGUGGUGUAUGGGGUUGCGGCUUGGCCUGUUUUCUGAAACCUGCAAGGUAGCACCCUGAAGGUAGCUUGUAACCCUCCACUCUCACACCAAGGGGAACCCAAAGUAAGGCACUUGGUCUGAAUGAUGGACAGGAAUCCCCUCUCUCACAAGUGACUGCAUAAACCAGUUGUCCAGGCAUCCUGUAGGUAGAAGAUGGGGUCACCAGCUGGGGAGAGGGGCAGAAAUAGCAAUUGGAGAAGCCACAGGACAACAUGGCCCCUCCACAGCCCUGCAAGAGGAGGACUGGAAGUGCCAGCACCAUUAUAUCCAGCACAAUGACAAAGCGAUCCUCA